AGGUAGGACUACCCGCUGAACUUAAGCAUAUCAAUAA
RNAcentral lists this ribosomal RNA (37 nucleotides) under Hyphoderma macaronesicum. RNAcentral describes it as "partial 28S ribosomal RNA". The record is from RNAcentral. Lineage: Eukaryota; Fungi; Basidiomycota; Agaricomycetes; Polyporales; Hyphodermataceae.